Molecule: ribosomal RNA, 432 nt
Filed under: uncultured bacterium
Lineage: Bacteria
Description: partial 16S ribosomal RNA
Rfam family: Bacterial small subunit ribosomal RNA
Source: RNAcentral
ACGCACGCUGGCGGCAGGCUUAACACCUGCCCGUCGCGCGCAUCCUUCGGGGUGAGCGGCGGACGGGUGAGUAACGCGUGGGAACGUGCCCUCUUCUACGGAAUAGCCUCGGGAAACUGAGAGUAAUGCCGUAUACGCCCGCAAGGGGAAAGAUUUAUCGGAGGAGGAUCGGCCCGCGUUGGAUUAGGUAGUUGGUGGGGUAACGGCCUACCAAGCCGACGAUCCAUAGCUGGUUUGAGAGGAUGAUCAGCCACACUGGGACUGAGACACGGCCCAGACUCCUACGGGAGGCAGCAGUGGGGAAUCUUGGACAAUGGGGGCAACCCUGAUCCAGCCAUGCCGCGUGAUCGAUGAAGGCCUUAGGGUUGUAAAGAUCUUUCAGCUGGGAAGAUAAUGACGGUACCAGCAGAAGAAGCCCCGGCUAACUCCGUG